AACGAACGCUGGCGGCGUGGAUAAGACAUGCAAGUCGAACGCUUGAUUUCCCGUAGCAAUAUGGGAGGUCAGGAGUGGCGCAAGGGUGCGUAACACGUGGAUCAUCUGCCUGGAAGUUCG
This 120-nucleotide ribosomal RNA is filed under the name uncultured bacterium. RNAcentral describes it as "partial 16S ribosomal RNA". It matches the Rfam family "Bacterial small subunit ribosomal RNA", at positions 29 to 140 of the family's 1533-position model. The record is from RNAcentral.